AUUGAGAAAGGUCUACGCGACUUCUUAAACUGUAAAACGCUGUCGUCUUGACUGCCCUGCGCCAUGGCGGGCAACCACAACCACCACGUACUCCAGCUAGUGCUAUCGUGCCGGCGAAUCACCGCCCAGGUGACGAACACCACCACCUCAUCCAUCAUAGCCAUGGCCUCCUCUUCCGAGCACGAGUUCCUCGCCCACUACCGCGCCCACCUCAACCGCGUCCCAAGAUCCCACCGCUUCUGGGACGCCAAAGUCGCCUCUCGCGUCGGCGAAAAGCUAGGGUUCCGCCUCAGGGAAAUCGGCGUCACCGGUGUUCACAUUGACCCUCGCGAUGAGCUUUCGCGCCCCGUCCACUACCGCCUGAUGGUUUCCCCCCUGUUCGAUUCCAUCAAACGCGCCGGCGUCGAGGUCUCCGGCGUUGACGGUUUCCCUUUGUGCGUCACACCUUCCAAUUGAAUAGAAGAAGAGAUGGAGAAAGAUGGGUUUGAUGUACUCACAACCCACUGUCUUGAUAUAGUCUGCACAUGCUUGCUUCUCUUCUCUUUGUUGUUGGUGGGGUGGUUGUGGUGAUUUAGGCUAUGGUGUGGGCCAAGAUGGGAACAUUGGAGGCUCAGGGGUUUGCGUUAAGUUUGCUAGACGUGGGGCUUACUAUCCCACCGCAGGUGACGCGAUGGGCUUCGAUGGCAGUUGAAAUGACGACGGGGGACAAAUCUGGUGGUGGUGGUGGUGGGUUUCUUGUGAUGUGAGCGUUGAUUGUGUCGGAACGAUUGGGGUCAAUGGUGUAGGUGGGGGGAAAGUGAACGUCGUGAUGACUGGGUAUGAGGGUGCGAUUAUCCUUGGAGGCGGUGCAGGCGAGGAGGCUGAGAGCGUUGGUGUCGAGGUGGUGAUGGUGGUGGCAGCGACGGUGGUGGCGAGGAUGCGGUGACUGGAUAUGAUUCCGGUGAGAACAAAGUGCGGAAAUACUUCACAAGCGAGCUUCUGCAUGAGCAAGAAGUUGGUGAUGUGAAACCAAAUAGGGCUCUUUACCUGAAUCAUCACCACCAGUACAAUUUGGAUUCAGCCAUAUAGAACAUCGACCUGGUGCUAGAAUCCCAACUGCAUAGCCACCCAUGCUAUAAGACAAUGGUUCAUUCAAAGUAAUCCAAUGCUUCACCCUAUCUCCAAAUUUCUUGAAACAAAGCUCCGCGUAGUCUCGAAAAUCAUGCCUGAAAAUCAAUCAUGAAUUAUGACAUGUUAAAUUUGAAAAUCAAUCAUGCAGAGGCAUGGGUGAUGCAUAACAUUUUUGUAUGUUUACUUUUAUAAUAGCUUAAUUUGGGUGGAAA
This is an RNA transcript of Lotus japonicus, 1322 nucleotides long. RefSeq lists it as uncharacterized. Lineage: Eukaryota; Viridiplantae; Streptophyta; Magnoliopsida; Fabales; Fabaceae. The record is from RefSeq and is a predicted model, not a curated record. The transcript has 3 exons.